GACGUAGGGCGCGAGCGUUGUCCGGAUUUAUUGGGCGUAAAGAGCUCGUAGGCGGCUUGUCGCGUCGUGUGUGAAAUCUCAGGGCUCAACUCUGACAUUGCAUACGAUACGGGCAGGCUUGAGUUCGGUAGGGGAGACUGGAAUUCCUGGUGUAGCGGUGAAAUGCGCAGAGUAUCAGGAGGAACACCGGUGGCGAAGGCGGGUCUCUGGGCCGAUACUGACGCUGAGGAGCGAAAGCGUGGGGAGCGAACAGG
RNAcentral lists this ribosomal RNA (254 nucleotides) under uncultured bacterium. RNAcentral describes it as "partial 16S ribosomal RNA". It matches the Rfam family "Bacterial small subunit ribosomal RNA", at positions 524 to 776 of the family's 1533-position model. The record is from RNAcentral.